UUUCCCACCUCUCAACAUUCAAGUAAACUGAUCCAAAAUUUCGUGGAAGUAACAAACUCUUCUCCGCUGAUAGCAUUUUCCAUCUCCCUUUUCCUCCUUGUGGUGUACGGCGUACGCCGUUCUCAAAGCGCGUCACCUCUUUCGCUCCCCUGCCCCAGAUUUCGCUUUCAAAACUGAUAACUCUCUGCAGACCUCUGUUUCUCUUUCGAUUUGGAUUCUUUGAAGACUUUCUUUAUCCAUUGGGCUGGGGAUGGCGAGGACAGGCAACAAGAACGUACAAGCCAAGCUGGUACUUCUUGGGGACAUGGGAACCGGAAAAACAAGUUUGGUAUUGAGAUUUGUCAAAGGCCAAUUCUUUGAGUACCAGGAGUCAACUAUUGGAGCAGCCUUCUUCACUCAGGUCUUGUCAUUAAAUGAAGCCACUAUAAAAUUUGAUAUAUGGGACACAGCAGGGCAAGAGCGUUACCAUAGUUUGGCUCCUAUGUACUAUCGUGGUGCAGCUGCAGCUGUUGUGGUUUAUGACAUUACAAGCAUGGAUUCAUUUGUACGGGCCAAAAAGUGGGUUCAAGAAUUGCAAAGACAAGGAAAUCCAAAUUUGAUAAUGUUCUUGGUUGCCAACAAGGCUGACUUGGAAGAGAAGAGAAAAGUGGCGGUCGAGGAAGGUGAGCAGUAUGCUAAUGAAAAUGGCUUGGUUUUUCUUGAAACAUCUGCAAAAUCUGCACAGAAUGUGAACGAGCUCUUCUAUGAGAUAGCAAAGAGAUUGGCAAAAGCUAACCCUUCACGCACAGCUGGAAUGAAAUUACAGAGUAGAUCACAAGGAAGUCGACGAAGGCUGUUUUGUUGCUCUGCAUGAUAUCCAUACUUGCUAUAUCCUACCGUAUGUAAUCCUUGCAAUCUUUUGUACAGAAAAUCAGUUUUCCUCGGCCAUCACUUUGUAAGGGCGUCACUCAAUCAGAUGGAAAUUCAUUGUGGCUAAUCAAAGGUUGAAGACCGAUUUGCAAAGCUGCUCAAACAUGUUGUAAGAAUAUUUGUUUUAUGUACAUCUCAAGAUCUCAUUAGAGAGAGGUAAUGACACAUUCAAACAUCCUACAUACUCCUGUAUGUGCGAGACAAUGAUUAUCACUCAAAAGUGAAUUAGACACCGGAAUAAGAAGUGUCAUAGCUAAAGAGAAAAAAAAAACACUUGGUU
Molecule: RNA transcript, 1189 nt
Organism: Juglans microcarpa x Juglans regia
Lineage: Eukaryota; Viridiplantae; Streptophyta; Magnoliopsida; Fagales; Juglandaceae
Gene name: ras-related protein RHN1-like
Exons: 8
Source: RefSeq, a predicted model, not a curated record